RNAcentral lists this ribosomal RNA (468 nucleotides) under uncultured bacterium. RNAcentral describes it as "partial 16S ribosomal RNA". It matches the Rfam family "Bacterial small subunit ribosomal RNA", at positions 28 to 507 of the family's 1533-position model. The record is from RNAcentral.
GACGAACGCUGGCGGCGUGCUUAACACAUGCAAGUCGAACGGAAAGGCCCUGCUUUUGUGGGGUGCUCGAGUGGCGAACGGGUGAGUAACACGUGAGUAACCUGCCCUUGACUUUGGGAUAACUUCAGGAAACUGGGGCUAAUACCGGAUAGGAGCUCCUGCUGCAUGGUGGGGGUUGGAAAGUUUCGGCGGUUGGGGAUGGACUCGCGGCUUAUCAGCUUGGUGGUGGGGUAGUGGCUUACCAAGGCUUUGACGGGUAGCCGGCCUGAGAGGGUGACCGGCCACACUGGGACUGAGACGCGGGCCAGGAUCCUACGGGAGGGCACAGUGGGGGAUAGUGCAAAAUGGGCGGGAGGCUGGAGCAACAACGGCGGGUGGGGGGUGAACGCCUUUCGGUUGUAAACCGCUUUCGCCUGUGACGAAGCGUGAGUGACGGUAAUGGGUAAAGAAGCACCGGCUAACUACGUG